Molecule: non-coding RNA, 44 nt
Filed under: Schistosoma margrebowiei
Lineage: Eukaryota; Metazoa; Platyhelminthes; Trematoda; Strigeidida; Schistosomatidae
Source: RNAcentral
AUCGGCUGACGAGUACCAAAUAAGACGAAACGCGCGUCCUGCAU